CGCCCGACUCAUAAGCUACAUAGAUAUGUGGUUGGACCCAUUGGAAAGUAGACUUCAUGAGCUUUCCAACAAGUAUAGGAACGUCCCAGUUGGAGUCCAUAUGACGCCGUGGUGAUCCAUACAAGUUAGAGUUAUUUUCCAGUCCGAAUCCAACUCCCAAAACGUGUUGGGUUUGGACUGUUUGUUUCCUUGCUUUAGAAGCGACGUGGUAACUUGAUAGAGGAUGUUGUGGAGGCUUGGACCUGAUCUCCAAUCACCUUUGUUAUUUUAUCACUCUUCCCAUAUGCAAUCAGCCCUUGAAGUUGGUGUUGCCUCAAAUUUUGAAUGCAGUUGAACCUUCCCUUGCUGAUCUUGUCCAUUAUUCCUGAGCAACACGAAAGUGCACGUGUCUCCAUUGUCUAAAUAUGAUUGACAAGAGUUUAAAACUGAACUUACUUGAAGGUUGAGUUGACGGGCACGAGCACGAGUAAGAGGACCAGCUAUAGGUUGUGUCGGAGAGGAUGUAGGACCAGCUAUAGGUUGUGUCGGAGAUGUAAGACCAGCUAUAGGUUGUGUCGGAGAGGAUGUAGGAGAGGAUGUAUCACUGGUGUUGAUGUCCUCAUCAAUGGGUGACACUGUAUCAAGAGGUGCAGACAUCAAGGUCCGCACCUGAAUCAAAUGACGCACCUAAAGAAUGAACACGGUGAGAAGUCUUGUUCAGAAGACUUAAAACAUUGAACCCUCACCGAAAGGUAAAAUCGGUAGUUAUCCAUAUUUAUCCUUUUUGGAUUCCCUUUUCCCUUAAAUUAUUUACUUUCCUUAAAUGGCUUGUUAGUUAAUCAUGCUAUCUUGAAAAAAAUAAAAAAUGUUAAAAAUAGUAAGCCCCAUGUGAGUAUGCUCGUGGCAUAAAACCCAUAAGUACAUUCACUGUGGUGGUGUAAAAAUAAAAUAAAUAUAUUCCUGUCCUAUAAAAAUGAAAAUAUAAAAAUAAAUUUAUGAUCCUACCAAAGAGAGUAACAUUUAUUAAGGAGGCUCAACAUGAUAAAGGCUAGAUAUUUAUGCUAACACUUAACUAGUUCCACAAAGCUUUGUUGUCUAUUUGAGCUCCACAGUAUUCAAGGAUCAAAAAAGACUAGCAGACGGAGGACAUUCUAAUCGCUGUCAGGGUGCUGCCAACAUUCAAAUACACCUCCGCCAUCUGCUAGCUACAUCAGAAGAAAUUACAUCAAAAUCUAGCUUGGGGGAGAGCACCCUCAUUUAUCCACCUAAGUAUUUCUAUCUACGUUUAUACUUAUACUUUGUUAAAAUAAUAAAAAGAUGCAUAAUCAUAAAAACCCAAAUAAAGAUUUUAGGCUUAUAUAUAUAUCUUUUCUUAGUUUGCUAAAUAAAUAAAUAAAUAAAUAAAGUUUGCUAUGAACCCUCAUGAUAAGCUCUCACAUGGAAAUGAUGAAUAGUUGCUCUACCAUGACUAGUUCUCAAAAGUGAAAUCUCUCUCAAGUUUAGGCAUCACUGUUAUGAAAUAAGAUUUGCUCUAAACCUGAACUUGUGGGAAGAGUACUUGAUCUAAAGUCUAAGUCGUUAACGGAUAUGAUAUGGGAAGGUUGAGCUGCUGUUUAUCUGUUCCUAGAGAUGCUAGAAUUCUGGAGAAUUUUAUCUUUGAAAAUCUUUAAAAUGUUGCAUGAUGAGUUCCUGUAUGAUGAGAGUUUAAAAUCCUACCACAGCCACAUAUACAUGCUUAUUAGACUAUGAACCAUACAUUUACUUUUUACUGCUUACGAGCAUUGAGUGUGGUCAAGCUGUGUAGACCCUUAGGAGCUUGUCAUGCGGUUAAAAUCAAGAUUCACUUGCACGUUCACUCAUAUAUGCUGCUUCUGCUCCAGAAGUACGCAUCCACAUACAUCCACUCCUUUCCAUCUCCAAAUUCACCUAAAAUUAUUCUACUCCUAUCCAGGAGAGAAUAGCCAAAAACAAUUAUCCUAUCCCUGUUAUUCCCCAUGAAAUAAAUGCUCGAGAUAUUUUGGUUACUACCACUUGCUAUAUUAUUUCAGGAGGGUGAGUGCUCUAAAAAAAAGAGAGAAAAGAAAAGAAAAAAAGUGAAUACGAGGAAAUAAAAAGGGGCAAGUGCCCGGAACCUCGAAAGAAAAGAAAAAGUGAGACGAGAGGUAAAAAUGGACAAGUGUCCGACAGUAGAAUUAGGGGUACAAGAUACCCACCUGAGAGAAAAGAAAAAGAAAAUAUAGAGCAUCUCAUUCCUCUCAAAAACCUUCAAAGUGCAAGAAAGGUAUGUAUCCCCUCAAAAGAGCAAAAGUAGAAUUAGACUUUCACCAUUAUUUUCACCAUUAUAACCAUCAUCACCAUACACCAUUCAUCCGCCACACAUGCACAUCUUGGUUUGACUUAUGGACUUGUUUCUCUGGAUCCAUGGUUUGACUAUGCAAUAAAUGUCUUGUAAUUAUGUAUGAGCUGUCUCCCACCUAUGAGCUCCAGAUAUCAAACCUUAUUAGAGUAGGGUGAGAGAGAAGGCAAUAUCACUAUGCCUCAUACCACAAAUACUACAUACUCUGAG
RNAcentral lists this long non-coding RNA (2545 nucleotides) under Sorghum bicolor (sorghum). Its description in RNAcentral is "long non-coding RNA (SBIC_LNC016261)". The record is from RNAcentral. Lineage: Eukaryota; Viridiplantae; Streptophyta; Magnoliopsida; Poales; Poaceae.